RNAcentral lists this RNase P RNA (308 nucleotides) under Halobacteriovoraceae bacterium. RNAcentral describes it as "RNase P RNA component class A". It matches the Rfam family "Bacterial RNase P class A". Rfam says of the family: Ribonuclease P (RNase P) is a ubiquitous endoribonuclease, found in archaea, bacteria and eukarya as well as chloroplasts and mitochondria. Its best characterised activity is the generation of mature 5'-ends of tRNAs by cleaving the 5'-leader elements of precursor-tRNAs. Lineage: Bacteria; Pseudomonadati; Bdellovibrionota; Bacteriovoracia; Bacteriovoracales; Halobacteriovoraceae. The record is from RNAcentral.
AAAGUAGGGGGAAUUGCCGCUGAUGCUUUUUGCAUGAGAGGAAGGUCCGGACACCACAUGGCAUCGUAACGGGUAACGCCCGUCCAUCGCAAGAUGAGGACAAGUGCAACAGAAAGUAUGUACGGAGGCCCUUCGGGGUCUCGCUGUAGUGAAAUCAGGUAAACUCUACGAGGUGCAAGCUCGAAUAGGUCUGUGUCUGAAAGCGGCCAGCUUAAAUAGACGGGUAGAGUGCUGGAGGUUCAGAGUAAUUUGAAUCCUAGAGGAAUGGCAAUUCUCGACAGAAUCCGGCCUACACCCCUUCUUUUACU